Molecule: transfer-messenger RNA, 355 nt
Filed under: Candidatus Brocadiales bacterium
Lineage: Bacteria; Pseudomonadati; Planctomycetota; Candidatus Brocadiia; Candidatus Brocadiales
Rfam family: transfer-messenger RNA
About the family: Bacterial tmRNA, also known as 10Sa RNA or SsrA, is named for its dual tRNA and mRNA-like properties. Its role is to liberate the mRNA from a stalled ribosome. To accomplish this part of the tmRNA is used as a reading frame that ends in a translation stop signal.
Source: RNAcentral
GGGGGCGAAGGGAUUCGACCUUGCAACGGAGGUAAAAGGUGGCAUGCCGAGGUGGUCGGGAGGCCUCGUAAAACACCUGACACAAACAACAAGUGCCGAUUACAAUCUGGCAAUGGCUGCAUAAUAAGUAGCCACGUUCCUCUGGCCCUGCCUGCGGGGCUGGAAGGGACGACGACUAGCAGGCUGGCCUGGCCCUGGUGCUUGAGAAGGGCUGGGUGAGACCUUAUCGAGCUGGCCCUCUGGGAACCCUGUCUAGCGGGGUCCUGGUGGGCGAGAACCAAAAGAUAGACUAAGCAUGUAGAAGCCUUUACCAAAGGGCAUAGGGACGCGGGUUCAAUUCCCGCCGCCUCCACCA